Molecule: non-coding RNA, 1246 nt
Organism: Heterocephalus glaber (naked mole-rat)
Lineage: Eukaryota; Metazoa; Chordata; Mammalia; Rodentia; Bathyergidae
Source: the annotation of a RefSeq genome assembly
AAACAGGGCUGGCAGACCCAAGAUCACCGCCCUGGUUGUGAAAUGGGCACCACGCUCUUCUCCUGUGUGGCCUUCAGUCUCCUAUGGGCAGGGCAUAUGGAGGCUGGAAUCACCCAGAGCCCAAGACACAAGAUCACAAAGACAAAAGAAAAGAGCACACAAAUGCUGGGGUCACUCAGACACCCAAGCAAGAGGUAACCAAGAGAGGACAAGCCGUAACUUUGAGAUGUGAGCCAAUUUCAGACCACAAAGCCCUUUACUGGUACAGACAAACUGUGGUGCGGAGACUGGAAUUGCUGACUUACUUUCGCAGCCUAACUCUUAUGAACGAAGGGGAAAUGCCGAAGGAUCGCUUCACAGCUCAGAUGCCUAAUGCAUCGUUCUCCAUCCUGAAGAUCCAGCCCGCAGAACCCAGUGACUCAGCUGUGUAUCUCUGUGCCAGCAGCUUAGCCACAGCAUUGUGGAACCAUCCCCUGCCAGCUCAGAAACCCUGGGUGCCCCUUCUCCCUCCAGUCCCAUAGUCCUAAGUACAAUCUUCCCUGCUCCUCCAUCCCCAUGUGAUAUACGUGGGUUGGGGACAGGACAAAGAAAAUAAUAACAUAAAAAUGGAGGAAAUUUUGGGUAGGAAAUAACAAGAAAUCAGUUUCAGGGGUAUCUUGGAAAUUGUCUGCAGACUCGAAGUUCACAUGUCAAAUAAAUCUUUCACACUGUAAAUCACCCUUCCUUCCGGUAGUUGUUAUCACCUGCUGAAUGUGGGACCUCUUGAUAAGGGCUGUGACUUCUGACCUACACUGCCUCUCCAUUCUCUCCUCACUCUAAGCUGUGAACAAAUCCCUUUCCCAGUGAGAUUUCCUGACUGUGAAAGAAUUGAUGUAUAUUCUGGGAAGAUGAGCUGCCUGCUCUGAACAAUCAGUAAGGAUCCACCUUGGUCCAUCCCAAAUCACAAAGGCCUGUCCUCUUUACUUUGCCUUCUUUUCUUCUUGAUCCUGUGUCCUUAACAGCCAUUCUCUUUCCUUCUGAUUUGUGUCAGAAAUUUCUAUUGUAAUCUAUUCUGAAUAGUUCUAACUUCUCUUUUCUAUAGUCUGAUUCACCUACUGAUUGCUUCUCAACCCUAUCAGGGUAUCCUUGGGAACUGGUACAAAAGAUACCUAUAUUUUAAUGGCCAAGGCAAUUCAGGUUUAUGUGAGCCAUAUUUUAUAUGCCAAAGCCAAAUUACAUUUUUUUAUUGACCUAUUUUUGUCACUUA